CAAUAGCGUAUAUUUAAGUUGUUGCAGUUAAAAAGCUCGUAGUUGGAUUUCGGAUGGGAUUUGCCGGUCCGUCGUUACGAUGUGCACUGGCCAGUCCUAUCUUGUUGUCGGGGACUAGCUCCUGGGCUUCACUGUCCGGGACUAGGAGCUGACGAGGUUACUUUGAGUAAAUUAGAGUGUUCAAAGCAAGCCUACGCUCUGAAUACAUUAGCAUGGAAUAACACGAUAGGACUCUGGCUUAUCUUGUUGGUCUGUGAGACCAGAGUAAUGAUUAAGAGGGACGGUCGGGGGCAUUCGUAUUUCAUUGUCAGAGGUGAAAUUCUUGGAUUUAUGAAAGACGAACUUCUGCGAAAGCAUUUGUCAAGGAUGUUUUCAUUAA
RNAcentral lists this ribosomal RNA (379 nucleotides) under uncultured eukaryote. Its description in RNAcentral is "partial 18S ribosomal RNA". It matches the Rfam family "Eukaryotic small subunit ribosomal RNA", at positions 592 to 976 of the family's 1831-position model. The record is from RNAcentral.